AUUGACAACAUCGUGUUCCCAAAUUUGAGACGUUAUUGGUUUCGCCAUUUCAAAUUUGAAGCCGAAUUUGAGACGUUACGGUUUUCGCCAUUUCAAAUUUGAAGCUAAAUUUAAGACGUUUGGUUUUCGCCAUUUCAAAUAGUACUCUCCUUUUGUUCAAUUUAGAAACGAGGAAGAGAAUUGGAGAAGAUGAUUCUCAGAAGUUCAGAACGCCGCAGCCGAGGAAGAGGAGGGCAGAAUCUCCGCCGCAGGAAGGCAAUAACGCCAACAACAAUACGCCUCAGAGCCCCACUUCUACGAGGACUUGCCGGUGCCGGAAUAUUCGCAUGACCACUCGAUUCCAGUAACCUCCGACCACCUAUCAAUGCCGACAGAUGAUGAUUGCAUAGUUAUUUUUCUUAUCAUAGCUUCAUGCCAUGAACCCAAAUCCAAAUAAAAAAUAAAAACUAUGCUAUUGAAGAUGUCUACCAGAAACGUUUCCAGAAUCAGAGAGAAAGAAACAUAGAGAAAAUUUUCAACACCGAGCAGGAACUAGCUGCUGCUAGAGGAUGUGAACAUAUAUUACAGGAGCAACUAAGGAAGGAGGUCAAUGUUUCUCAAAAACAUCUAAACCACAGGUCUUUCAUGAGCUUGAGUUUCAGAAUGAGAUGGGUCUGCGCAAAAAUGCUGAGUAGUCAGCGUCCAAUGAGCACACAUAUUAGAGGAGAAGCUAAAUACCCUCUUCAAAAUGAGCUUGUUCAAAUGAGAAGUGAUACAUAGUUGUCUAUUUCUAGAAUAAGUGCUGAUCUUGAAAGAAUGGAAUGUAGAGCUAAAAAUGCAGAGAAAGAGUCUGAAUUACUGAAAGUGCUCUUAGAAGGACUUGAAGAGCAACUCGAUAAGCCUUUUUUCCAUGUAACUCAACACUUGGAGUUGGGACUGAGACCAUAUUAGAGGAAGAACUUGGUUACAAUGCCAAUCAGGUCCACAACCUCAGAUUGUGUUAGCUUGGAAAUAGAAAUCACCUGAAGGACUAAUCAUAUCUCUAGCUCAAUAAUGUACUUGACUGGUUGGCACAAAUUUAAGACAAGUAACUGAUGCAUUUAUUGCUUUUGUUUGAUAUAACUUCUUUGCUUAGUAGAAUUAUAGAUAUUCAUGCAGCAUGAAUCUCUGAUGUCAUACCUGUUGGCAAUUGAAACUAAAAAUAUAACAUAUA
Molecule: long non-coding RNA, 1192 nt
Organism: Salvia splendens (bonfire salvia)
Lineage: Eukaryota; Viridiplantae; Streptophyta; Magnoliopsida; Lamiales; Lamiaceae
Exons: 7
Source: RefSeq, a predicted model, not a curated record